GAUUUUAAAAUAUGUUAACAAGGAUCUAAGGAGCUACCAGAACCAAAAGUUCAAAACAAAUCCAGAAUAUCUCAGAGCUACUAGAAAUAAAAGUUGAAAACUAAUUUAGAAUAUAUUUGCUCAUAGCAUGGCGACCCCACUUAGUGGAAUAAGGCUUUUGUUGCUGUAUUUGCUCGUAGUAUGUCAAGUUAUCCAUAUAUUCCAGGAAGCCAUCAGGGCACUAACAUGUUUAUUCAUUGUAGAAUGUAGCUAACUUUUAAAAUCUUUGUCUGCAGUUAAAGUAUCAACCGUCAAAUCAAGCUUUCCGUGGUAAAUCAAUAUAACAAAAAAUAAAACAGUUGUAUAAACUAACGACAUUAAAUGGGAUGGAUUGUCCAUGUAAAUUAACCUUACAUGUGCAGUUUAUGAGAAUCCACUAUUUUGAAAUGUUGGUUCAUUCUUGUAACUGAAUCUUAAAAGGAAAUUGUUGUUUUUUACGAACAAUCCUUCAAAGGAUGCGAAGAACAGCUUAUUGGUUCCUAUUUCACCCACUCCUCCUCCCGUGUGUUGCGACAAAUUCAAUUGAAAAGUGUCAUAAGUUGUUUUCAUAAAUU
RNAcentral lists this long non-coding RNA (593 nucleotides) under Medicago truncatula (barrel medic). RNAcentral describes it as "long non-coding RNA (MTRU_LNC003347)". The record is from RNAcentral. Lineage: Eukaryota; Viridiplantae; Streptophyta; Magnoliopsida; Fabales; Fabaceae.